UACGGAGGAUCCGAGCGUUAUCCGGAUUUAUUGGGUUUAAAGGGUGCGUAGGUGGGCCUGUAAGUCAGUGGUGAAGGUUUGCAGCUUAACUGUAAAAUUGCCGUUGAAACUGCCGGUCUUGAGUGCAAAUGAGGUAAGCGGAAUGUGUUGUGUAGCGGUGAAAUGCUUAGAUAUGACACAGAACACCGAUUGCGAAGGCAGCUUACUGGGAUGCCACUGACACUGAGGCACGAAAGCGUGGGUAUCAAACAGGAUUAGAUACCCCCGUAGU
RNAcentral lists this ribosomal RNA (271 nucleotides) under uncultured prokaryote. RNAcentral describes it as "partial 16S ribosomal RNA". It matches the Rfam family "Bacterial small subunit ribosomal RNA", at positions 524 to 794 of the family's 1533-position model. The record is from RNAcentral.